UACGGGGGGAGCAAGCGUUGUUCGGAUUUACUGGGCGUAAAGGGCGCGUAGGCGGCCAGUGCAAGUCAGUUGUGAAAUCUCCGAGCUUAACUCGGAAAGGUCAACUGAUACUGCUCGGCUAGAGUGCGGAAGGGGCAACUGGAAUUCUUGGUGUAGCGGUGAAAUGCGUAGAUAUCAAGAGGAACACCUGCGGCGAAGGCGGCAUUCUGGACUGCAACUGACACUGAAAGACGAAAGCCAGGGGAGCAAACGGG
This 254-nucleotide ribosomal RNA is filed under the name uncultured bacterium. RNAcentral's name for it is "partial 16S ribosomal RNA". It matches the Rfam family "Bacterial small subunit ribosomal RNA", at positions 524 to 776 of the family's 1533-position model. The record is from RNAcentral.